AACUAACUGAAAGGAGAAUUUGAGGAUGACAUGGCUAUGUGUAAACUAUGUGUGCAUAGGAACUGUGAUCUAAAUCAAAGUCUGCUGAAAAGUGUGAAGGGGCAAGGAUGCUCCAUCACACUUCAAUACAGGUUUUGGUCAAUAAAUUAACAUUUCAGUGAAACAUUUUAAUGUUUUUGUAAGAUUUUUUUUAUAUUAUUGUACACACUGUUUAAUUUAAUUUCAUUCAUAAUAACAACAAAAUCAAUUAAAAAACGAAGUAAAAGUGAAUUAAAAACGUGUAGAAAGACUGACAGAAAUUGUAUAUCUGCCCCUUUAGAUGCACUUAUUCUUGAAAUUUUAAAGAAAAGUGCACAUCUGACUUUUUUCUUUCAAUAUUAAUUUGUUGAGUCUAAAACUGAACCCUAUGCAUUUUAUCUUUUCAGAUCUUUUUCAGAAAGAUGCACUAGCUAAGGAGCUGGAGGAAGACUUGAGGACCAACACUGAUGGAGCAUCCAAGGCUUUGGAGCCACCAGGGAAGGCCCCCCGAGUGGAAGCAGCAGCAGCUCAAAGCAGCAACAAAGGAAGCCCGAGUACCCGGAGAGAACCCACGCAUGCACGGAGAGAACAUGCAAACUCAGAACUCAAACCCAGAAAGGACCCCCGACCGAGAUUUGAACCGGUGACCUUCUUGCUGAGAGGCAUCAGCUCUACCAACUGAGCCACCGUGCCGCCCUCACUGAACAAGUUAAACUUAAAAGUUUUUUUUUUAAUGUGUUCGACCAAGCUUGUGAACAGUUGGUUUAUUUAAGAUUGCUGUUCUGGUGCUGGUGCAUAGUUAUAAAAUAAAUGUGCAAUUCAGUAGUUCA
Long non-coding RNA from Austrofundulus limnaeus, 848 nucleotides. RefSeq lists it as uncharacterized. NCBI's taxonomy places the organism in Eukaryota, Metazoa, Chordata, Actinopteri, Cyprinodontiformes, Rivulidae. The record is from RefSeq and is a predicted model, not a curated record. The transcript has 2 exons.